Molecule: ribosomal RNA, 132 nt
Filed under: uncultured bacterium
Lineage: Bacteria
Description: partial 16S ribosomal RNA
Rfam family: Bacterial small subunit ribosomal RNA
Source: RNAcentral
GCGAAGCCUGAUCCAGCCAUGCCGCGUGAGUGAUGAAGGCCUUCGGGUUGUAAUGCUCUUUUGGCGGGGAAGAUAAUGACGGUACCCGCAGAAUAAGCCCCGGCUAACUUCGUGCCAGCAGCCGCGGUAAUA